This 522-nucleotide ribosomal RNA is filed under the name Listeria monocytogenes. Its description in RNAcentral is "bacterial SSU rRNA". It matches the Rfam family "Bacterial small subunit ribosomal RNA", at positions 1018 to 1533 of the family's 1533-position model. Lineage: Bacteria; Bacillati; Bacillota; Bacilli; Caryophanales; Listeriaceae. RNAcentral also lists the same sequence under 1 other name. The record is from RNAcentral.
CUUCGGGGACAAAGUGACAGGUGGUGCAUGGUUGUCGUCAGCUCGUGUCGUGAGAUGUUGGGUUAAGUCCCGCAACGAGCGCAACCCUUGAUUUUAGUUGCCAGCAUUUAGUUGGGCACUCUAAAGUGACUGCCGGUGCAAGCCGGAGGAAGGUGGGGAUGACGUCAAAUCAUCAUGCCCCUUAUGACCUGGGCUACACACGUGCUACAAUGGAUAGUACAAAGGGUCGCGAAGCCGCGAGGUGGAGCUAAUCCCAUAAAACUAUUCUCAGUUCGGAUUGUAGGCUGCAACUCGCCUACAUGAAGCCGGAAUCGCUAGUAAUCGUGGAUCAGCAUGCCACGGUGAAUACGUUCCCGGGCCUUGUACACACCGCCCGUCACACCACGAGAGUUUGUAACACCCGAAGUCGGUAGGGUAACCUUUAUGGAGCCAGCCGCCGAAGGUGGGACAGAUAAUUGGGGUGAAGUCGUAACAAGGUAGCCGUAUCGGAAGGUGCGGCUGGAUCACCUCCUUUCUAAGGAA